GUCCAAUUUAUUUAUUUAAAUUUUAAUAUUUUGCUAGUAUUUAACAAGUAUUUCCACAAGUUUGCUUUUUACAGAUAUAGUCGAUGUCCUCACAGCGAAAUAAGAAAAUCUUCCCGAUCUCAAAAGCCAAGAAAAGCUUGAAUUUUUAUGAGUGUAUAAUUGUCUUAUUUUGCUGUCAAGAUUUUACGACCUUUGAAAAGUACUAUUCCGAAUAAAUAAUUACAUUUAUAAUAUUUUCUGAAUGCGAUAAAAUCUGUGUGCUUGUUGUAAACAAACAAUUCCAUGGUAGUAUUGGAUUGUUCCAGAAAAGAUCCAAACUCCCUCAACAGAGAACAGUUGUACUGUCUUGGGGGGGGGGG
This is a non-coding RNA of Paramuricea clavata, 359 nucleotides long. Lineage: Eukaryota; Metazoa; Cnidaria; Anthozoa; Malacalcyonacea; Plexauridae. The record is from the annotation of a GenBank genome assembly.